This 36-nucleotide non-coding RNA is filed under the name Aulacoseira subarctica. Lineage: Eukaryota; Bacillariophyta; Melosirophyceae; Melosirales; Aulacoseiraceae. The record is from RNAcentral.
GUGUUUUUUUUUUUUUUUUUUUUUUUUUUUUUUUUU